Megalobrama amblycephala (Wuchang bream) is the source of this 1255-nucleotide long non-coding RNA. RefSeq lists it as uncharacterized. Lineage: Eukaryota; Metazoa; Chordata; Actinopteri; Cypriniformes; Xenocyprididae. The transcript has 3 exons. The record is from RefSeq and is a predicted model, not a curated record.
GCUUCAAAUGUUGACCACUACAGUUAGCAGGACAGCUAUCUAUGGCAUGUCAUGUAAAUUGUCCAUGUUGUGUUUCUUAUUCUCCUCAUUUUAUGGCAUUGAGACUAAUCUGUGCUUCCAGAUGAUGCUCAGCAAUGGCCCAGUGUCUGCAAAGAAAACGUUUUAACAAUGGCCCAGUGACCACCAUGCAAAUGAGCAAAUGAUUUUUAUCGGACUUGUAUCCUACACUGAAAAAAAGUGAAACUACUGUGUUGUUCAUUUAAAGUGCAUUUUUACAUUGGACUAAGUGAAAAUCAUGGUUUCUGGUUUAAACCUGUUUUUUUCAGUUUGCCUUAAAGCAAAUAACGAAGCCCCUAGAACAAAUUAAAAACAACAAUUUGACUUAAGUAGUAUUUUUACUUUAAACCAGAUGUUUUCAUGUCACGUGACCACAUGACGUCACAUUAACUAACUGCCCGCGCCACCAGCCAGCAUUUUGCCAUCCGCCAUUAUCGCUUCGAGUGUGAAGACGGUCCGUUGCCCAGGAAAUCUUUUUAGACAAGGUUGGAUUUUGUUCCCUGGAAAUUCCAGAAUUUUGCCCUAAUUGCUGAAUUUGAUCCUUUUGGAUGGGCAGACAUGGCAGUCAAAAGGCCAGCUAAGUUGCGUGUUAUUCUGAAUCCUGAUGACACCAGGAAGCUAGUUUUGCCUGGUGGAAUUCCAGAGUCAAUGGAGCAGCUUAUGGAUGAAGUUAGGAAAGUGUGUGGGUUAAAUGGCAAUUUAAGACUGCAGUACCAAGACAGAGACUUUGGAGAUGCACUAGUGAACUUGACAUCUACUGUGGAACUUGAGGAUUUGGCAACUGUCAAGGUCAUCCCAAUAUCUGAUGUUAGAUGUUUUAUUGUGCUUUAUUGUGUUCAGUCUAAGUGUGAAGCUCUAAAUAUUGGAGAAAUUUGGAUACAGGAUGUUUUAUUGUGUUAGAUCUUGUAUUCAAAUACAUUCCAUGAAUAAUGGAAGAGGCCAUUGUUAAAUCCUCGUCAUUUCUCUCAAUUUAUCACUUAUUUUACUAAAGUAAAGUUGUUGAAAAGUUUAACAUACCACUUUAAUGUGGUAAAGGUUACAGAAAGGUUGAGUUUUCAAGGAGAGGUGUACAAAACAGUUUUACAUUAAUGUGGUUCAAGUUGACAAUGUUUUAAAAAAAAAAAAAAAAAAACUUUUUAAAACCAUUUUAUUUUAAUGUUUUUCCAUCUAUUGUUUAUAAAGGCUAGUCUAACUGGCA